UUGGUUUUCCCACCUAAAAGUCUUAAACACACGCCCAACACCACCCAUCUAUCUUUAAUUUUCGCGUUGAUAUUCUCAUAUACCAGUCAUACCUAUCUCCCCUUCGUUUUUCCCUCUCUUCAUCCCAUCCCUCUUCCUCCUGUUGCUAGUUAGGUCGCCGCCCGAUCUUCUUCCACCCUCCUCUCUUCUUUUCCUCCCCUACCUUGAAGCAUUAGUAAGGUUUUAAAGUCGCCGCUCACACAAAAGGGCCAAAACGACCACUUUCUAGCAGCUGGUCCCCAAAUCUAGUGUCAUCUCCUCUCCUCUUUGAUUUCCGCUUAAAAUUUUCGCAAAUGUCAUCUUUUACUACAUUUGUAUCGCUAUUUUUUUAAUUUCAAUAUUAUUGUUGACAAAUUUCGGAUUUAGGGUUUAUGUUAUCCUAAUUCAGAAUUUCUGGUUGAUUUCUAGAGUUCCAAUUUUAAGAUGGUGACGGUGGCUUGUGGAUCGAGGUUGGAUUUUUAGGGUUCUUGUUAUGGUUGUUGCCGCUUGCGUUGCUGCGGUGAGGUGUUUUCUGUGGUGAUGUUGUGGCUAAAGGUUUGCUAUGUGAAGCUCUAAGAUCGAUCUCUACAUCUCUUGUCAGAUUGAGUUGAGGUUACAAUGUCACGCACAAGGAGGCGACCAAGGUGUACCUUGUGGGACUGUUUAAGGAAGGAAAGCAUGCAGCUAUAUGGCAGUUGUUGGAUGUUGUAUUGAUCCAAAUGUGGCCAACUAUGAUCAAACUACAGGGAGUGACGAUGGGAGUUGUACCUGCACUUUGUAGAUUUUUUUUUUUUAAUACCGUAAUUUGCUGCAACGAAAUGAGAUUAGAGGAAAUAAAUUUAGUUUGUAUCUAUUGGAAGGAUUAAUAUUCUACUUGUAUAUUUACCUUAUUUUUUAUUUUUUGUUUGUUAGUCGGUGAAUUGUCAUUAUUAUUGGUUUGUAAUAAAAGUAUUAUUGUGUUACAUUUAAACAUCUCAGCUAGCAUUUGCUAGGUAA
Chenopodium quinoa (quinoa) is the source of this 1014-nucleotide long non-coding RNA. RefSeq lists it as uncharacterized. Lineage: Eukaryota; Viridiplantae; Streptophyta; Magnoliopsida; Caryophyllales; Amaranthaceae. The transcript is spliced from 3 exons. The record is from RefSeq and is a predicted model, not a curated record.